AGAGUUUGAUCCUGGCUCAGAACAAACGCUGGCGGCGUGCCUAACACAUGCAAGUCGAACGUGAAAAUUCACUUCGGUGAAUGAGUAAAGUGGCGCACGGGUGAGUAACGCGUGGAUAAUCUGCCCUUCAGUCUGGAAUAACUCAUCGAAAGGUGGGCUAAUACCGGAUAACGCUGUUUUCACUUUGGUGAGACAGCCAAAGAGGGCCUCUAUUUAUAAGCUCUUGCUGAAAGAUGAGUCCGCGUACCAUUAGCUAGUUGGCAGGGUAAUUGCCUACCAAGGCGACGAUGGUUAGCUGGACUGAGAGGUUGGUCAGCCGCACUGGGACUGAGACACUGCCCAGACUCCUACGGGAGGCUGCAGUCGAGAAUCUUUUGCAAUGGGCGAAAGCCUGACAAUGCGACGCCGCGUGAGGGAUGAAGGUCUUCGGAUCGUAAACCUCUGUCAGGAGGGAUGAUGCUCAUUCGAUUUAAUAAAUCGAAUGAGUGACAGUACCUCCAAAGGAAGCCACGGCUAACUCCGUGCCAGCAGCCGCGGUAAUACGGAGGUGGCAAGCGUUACUCGGAUUUAUUGGGUGUAAAGGGCGUGUAGGCGGUUGCGCAAGUCGAACGUGAAAUCCCAUGGCUUAACCAUGGAACUGCAUUCGAAACUGCGCGACUCGAGUAUGGGAGAGGAGAGCGGAAUUCCCGGUGUAAGGGUGAAAUCUGUGGAUAUCGGGAGGAACACCAGUGGCGAAGGCGGCUCUCUGGCCCAUAACUGACGCUGAGAUGCGAAAGCGUGGGGAGCAAACAGGAUUAGAUACCCUGGUAGUCC
Molecule: ribosomal RNA, 813 nt
Filed under: uncultured bacterium
Lineage: Bacteria
Description: bacterial SSU rRNA
Rfam family: Bacterial small subunit ribosomal RNA
Source: RNAcentral